AUUCCUACGGGAGGCAGCAGUGGGGAAUAUUGGACAAUGGGCGAAAGCCUGAUCCAGCAAUGCCGCGUGAGUGAUGAAGGCCUUAGGGUUGUAAAGCUCUUUUACCCGGGAUGAUAAUGACAGUACCGGGAGAAUAAGCCCCGGCUAACUCCGUGCCAGCAGCCGCGGUAAUACGGAGGGGGCUAGCGUUGUUCGGAAUUACUGGGCGUAAAGCGCGCGUAGGCGGCUUUGUAAGUUAGAGGUGAAAGCCCGGAGCUCAACUCCGGAACUGCCUUUAAGACUGCAUCGCUAGAAUUGUGGAGAGGUGAGUGGAAUUCCGAGUGUAGAGGUGAAAUUCGUAGAUAUUCGGAAGAACACCAGUGGCGAAGGCGACUCACUGGACACAUAUUGACGCUGAGGUGCGAAAGCGUGGGGAGCGAACUGGAUUAGAUACCCAGGUAGUCCACGCCGUAAACGAUGGAUGCUAGCUGUUAUUCGUAUCGACCCGAGUAGUAGCGAAGCUAACGCGUUAAGCAUCCCGCCUGUGGAGUACGGCCGCAAGGCUAAAACAUAAAGGAAUUGACGGGGACCCGCACAAGCGGUGGAGCGUGUUGUUUAAUUCGAUGGUAAGCGAAGAACCUUACCCAGGUUUGACAUCUUAGGAAGUUCUGCGAAAGCAGAGUGUGCCUUCGGGAACCUAAUGACAGGUGAUGCAUGGCCGUCGUCAGCUCGUGUCGUGAGAUGUUUGGUUAAGUCCAUUAACGAGCGCAACCCUUAUAGUUAGUUGUAUUUCUCUAGCUAGACUGCCCUGGUAACAGGGAGGAAGGAGGGGAUGAUGUCAGGUCAGUAUUUCCCUUACAUCUGGGGCUACAGACACGCUACAAUGGCCGGUACAAAGGGCAGCCAAGUCGCAAGACGGAGCAAAUCCCAUCAAAGCCGGUCUCAGUUCGGAUAGCAGGCUGAAACUCGCCUGCUUGAAGCUGGAAUCGCUAGUAACGGUAGGUCAGCACACUACCGUGAAUACGUUCCCGGGCCUUGUACACACCGCC
This 1028-nucleotide ribosomal RNA is filed under the name uncultured soil bacterium. RNAcentral describes it as "bacterial SSU rRNA". It matches the Rfam family "Bacterial small subunit ribosomal RNA", at positions 335 to 1394 of the family's 1533-position model. The record is from RNAcentral.